UUACUACUCCCUCCGUCCCAAAAUUCUUAUCUUACAUUUGUCUAGAUACGAAUGUAUCUAACACUAAAACGUAACUAAAUACAUCCGUGUGUAGUUAAUCUAAGACAAGAAUUUUGGGACCGAGGGAUACGAC
Molecule: non-coding RNA, 133 nt
Organism: Triticum aestivum (bread wheat)
Lineage: Eukaryota; Viridiplantae; Streptophyta; Magnoliopsida; Poales; Poaceae
Source: Rfam